RNAcentral lists this long non-coding RNA (633 nucleotides) under Carassius auratus (goldfish). RNAcentral's name for it is "lncRNA (ENSCARG00000045225.1)". The record is from RNAcentral. Lineage: Eukaryota; Metazoa; Chordata; Actinopteri; Cypriniformes; Cyprinidae.
CCUGAAAAGAGGCCUAGUCUCUUAUCAAAUCUGCUGGAAAAGCGCAAGGAGCAGUUAAUUGGCAGUACAGCUGUACAGGAAUGCACAAAUUGCUGUGCCUUGAAAGAAAAAAUAAAGCAGCUGGAAGAAGACAACAGAAGAGUAGUUCUUCACUUGGACACCAUAAAUGAGUUGAAGAGCAUGGUGUGUGCGCUGAAAGGGGACUUAGAAGAAAGAAGUGCCCCUUCAAAGCAUCAAAAACCAGCCAUAUUUGCACAUCCACACUCAUCGCAAGACAACCAGGUGGAACCCCUUGAGGAUGAUGUGACCAUUGCUGAUGGCGUUACAGUUAACAAAAUACAGCUUAUGCGAUGCAACCAUCAGAGACCUUCAAAACUUGUGUGUGAUCUGCUUGGGGUGAUGUUCACAAUGGAGGAGCUGUCAACACAAUCCUUAACUGGAUUAAAGGGAGGUGCAUCAGAGAGUGUGAAACCUUCCUUGAAUAAGAAGCAUGUCAAUGCCAUUUUUGAGUACACUUUAAAGAAGUUUCCUUCUUCAAAUAUUAACGAGCUAAGAGUGGCAGCAAGAAAUAAAUUAAACAAUGCAAGCAAGCUGUUCAAGAAAGGAUCUUACCAAAUUCUGGAUGAGGAGUAA